RNAcentral lists this ribosomal RNA (253 nucleotides) under uncultured bacterium. RNAcentral's name for it is "partial 16S ribosomal RNA". It matches the Rfam family "Bacterial small subunit ribosomal RNA", at positions 524 to 776 of the family's 1533-position model. The record is from RNAcentral.
UACGUAGGGUGCAAGCGUUGUCCGGAAUUAUUGGGCGUAAAGAGCUCGUAGGCGGUUUGUCGCGUCUGCUGUGAAAACUGGAGGCUCAACCUCCAGCCUGCAGUGGGUACGGGCAGACUAGAGUGCGGUAGGGGAGAUUGGAAUUCCUGGUGUAGCGGUGGAAUGCGCAGAUAUCAGGAGGAACACCGAUGGCGAAGGCAGAUCUCUGGGCCGUAACUGACGCUGAGGAGCGAAAGCGUGGGGAGCGAACAGG